CUGACUGCUAUCGGAUUGAUACUAAGCCAUGCGAGUCAUUGUAGCAAUACAAGGCAGACGGCUCAGUAACGCGUAGUCAACCUAACCUAUGGACGGGGGUAACCUCGGGAAAACUGAGAAUAAUGCCCCGAUAGAACACUAUACCUGGAAUGGUUUGUGUUCCAAAUGAUUUAUCGCCGUAGGAUGGGACUGCGGCCUAUCAGUUUGUUGGUGAGGUAAUGGCCCACCAAGACUAUUACAGGGUACGGGCUCUGAGAGGAGUAGCCCGGAGAUGGGUACUGAGACACGGACCCAGGCCCUAUGGGGCGCAGCAGGCGAGAAAACUUUGCAAUGUGCGAAAGCACGACAAGGUUAAUCCGAGUGGUUUGUGCUAAACGAACCUUUUGUCGGUCCUAGAAACACCGAUGAAUAAGGGGUGGGCAAGUUCUGGUGUCAGCCGCCGCGGUAAAACCAGCACCUCAAGUGGUCAGGAUGAUUAUUGGGCCUAAAGCAUCCGUAGCCGGCGCUAUAAGUUUUCGGUUAAAUCUGUACCCUCAACGUACAGGGCUGCCGGGGAAUACUGUAGCGCUAGGGAGUGGGAGAGGUAGACGGUACUCGGUAGGAAGGGGUAAAAUCCUUGGAUCUAUUGGAUG
RNAcentral lists this ribosomal RNA (632 nucleotides) under uncultured marine archaeon. RNAcentral describes it as "bacterial SSU rRNA". It matches the Rfam family "Archaeal small subunit ribosomal RNA", at positions 23 to 656 of the family's 1478-position model. The record is from RNAcentral.